ACCAGCAGAGAUGCACCAAUCAAAGUAUCUGAAGGAGACUUUUACAGCCUCAAUGUCACUGAUGGAGGAGUUUAUUACUGUGUGGCCACCAAUCAGCUUGGUGAUCAAACAUCAUUAGAGAUCAAUCUGACUAUAGAAGGUAAAUAAAAAAGGUACUUUAGCAAUCAAUAUUGUUACAUUCCCAUAGUGUCUUUAUUUAGUCACUUGUUUUUUUUCAUCUUGUCUUGAGGUGGAGUUGAUUAUCUACUAUUGGGUCCAGGUCUUGGAGGAAUCAUUUGGAUCAUCGUGCUCAUCGGCCUGGUUGCCUUUGUUUGGUCAGUAGCAUCAUUAACGGGCAUCAAAACGGGUGAAAAAGGUGUUUGAAGUCUCCACAUCCGGCUGCACAUCAGAGUCAGGUGAGAACACACCAAACAACUCGGUGUGGUUUUGUAAUUAUUUGGUAGCAAACGGCUUUCACAAUCACUUCCUGUUUGCUUCAUUUAUUUAUUUAUUUAUGUAGAAUCAGACUGUUGUUUAUCCAACAGUGACAACAGAAGAAGGUCCACUAUGGAGAGAUGAACUUCUCGAGGCUCAGAUCUGGACCGUCCUCGGUCUCGGAGCAGGACGGUGGACAGCAGGAGGACACUUUGUAUGCGCAGGUCAAAGUGUCCAAGGCAGCAGACAACGUCACACGGACUGCUGACGUCCCAGAGGAUCUCUACGCUCAAGUGAAGAGAAAAUGAGCCGUUUCUUGUGGUCACAUUUGGGUUUUAUUGUUAAGAUGCUUUUUACAUAAAUAACAAGCUUUAUCUGUCAGUUUAUGGAGAAAAAGAAUAGUGAGAAAAUGUAAUCUUCACUGCUCACAGUUAAUUAAAGAGGAACUUCAAACCUCCACA
This is a non-coding RNA of Gasterosteus aculeatus aculeatus (three-spined stickleback), 875 nucleotides long. Lineage: Eukaryota; Metazoa; Chordata; Actinopteri; Perciformes; Gasterosteidae. The record is from RefSeq and is a predicted model, not a curated record.